Molecule: ribosomal RNA, 253 nt
Filed under: uncultured bacterium
Lineage: Bacteria
Description: partial 16S ribosomal RNA
Rfam family: Bacterial small subunit ribosomal RNA
Source: RNAcentral
GACGAACCGUGCGAACGUUGUUCGGAAUCACUGGGCUUAAAGGGCGCGUAGGCGGGCUCACAAGUCAGGGGUGAAAUCCCACGGCUCAACCGUGGAAGUGCCUUUGAUACUGUGGGUCUGGAGGGAGGUAGGGGCGUGCGGAACUUCCGGUGGAGCGGUGAAAUGCGUAGAUAUCGGAAGGAACACCGGUGGCGAAAGCGGCGCGCUGGACCUCUACUGACGCUGAGGCGCGAAAGCGUGGGGAGCGAACAGG